GAUGAACGCUGGCUACAGGCUUAACACAUGCAAGUCGAGGGGAAACGACGGGGAAGCUUGCUUCCCCGGGCGUCGACCGGCGCACGGGUGAGUAACGCGUAUCCAACCUGCCUCUGACUGAGGGAUAACCCGUCGAAAGUCGGCCUAAUACCUCAUGGCAUCGUCUGCGGGCAUCCAACGACGAUUAAAGAUUUCAUCGGUCAGGGAUGGGGAUGCGUCUGAUUAGCUUGUUGGCGGGGUAACGGCCCACCAAGGCUACGAUCAGUAGGGGUUCUGAGAGGAAGGUCCCCCACAUUGGAACUGAGACACGGUCCAAACUCCUACGGGAGGCAGCAGUGAGGAAUAUUGGUCAAUGGGCGGGAGCCUGAACCAGCCAAGUAGCGUGCAGGAUGACGGCCCUAUGGGUUGUAAACUGCUUUUAUGCGGGGAUAAAGUGAGGGACGUGUCCUUCAUUGCAGGACCCGCAUGAAUAAGGACCGGUA
Molecule: ribosomal RNA, 482 nt
Filed under: Segatella oris
Lineage: Bacteria; Pseudomonadati; Bacteroidota; Bacteroidia; Bacteroidales; Prevotellaceae
Description: bacterial SSU rRNA
Rfam family: Bacterial small subunit ribosomal RNA
Source: RNAcentral